This 253-nucleotide ribosomal RNA is filed under the name uncultured bacterium. RNAcentral describes it as "partial 16S ribosomal RNA". It matches the Rfam family "Bacterial small subunit ribosomal RNA", at positions 524 to 776 of the family's 1533-position model. The record is from RNAcentral.
GACGUAGGGCGCAAGCGUUGUCCGGAUUUAUUGGGCGUAAAGAGCUCGUAGGCGGCUUGUUGCGUCGUCCGUGAAAACCUGUGGCUCAACUACAGGCUUGCGGUCGAUACGGGCGGGCUGGAGUUCGGUAGGGGAGACUGGAAUUCCUGGUGUAGCGGUGAAAUGCGCAGAUAUCAGGAGGAACACCGGUGGCGAAGGCGGGUCUCUGGGCCGAUACUGACGCUGAGAUACGAAAGCGUGGGGAGCGAACAGG